RNAcentral lists this small RNA (540 nucleotides) under Pan troglodytes (chimpanzee). Its description in RNAcentral is "sense intronic". Lineage: Eukaryota; Metazoa; Chordata; Mammalia; Primates; Hominidae. The record is from RNAcentral.
AGACAUUAUUGCUGGGCUUAGCACCUAAAAAUGUUUUAUAUACUGGAGCAUCUGAAAGUUCCUAUUCAGUAGCAGAACUUCAGGGUAAUUGAGGUUUAUAAUCUGGUCAGUUAUAAUAACAUUGCUAGCAUAUUUCAAUUUUUUGGAUUUGUCUAUUAUUUGACAAUAUAAUUUUUAUUGUCUUUGUCUAUGUCAGAUCUUUAAAUUGGCUAUUGUUUUGUGCUUAUGGAAAAAUACUUUAAUUCUCAAAAACAGUGAUUUCUUUUUUGUUUUUGCCUCUUUAUAAGGAAUAGCAAAUAGAAGUGCUAGUAUUUACUAGAUGCAGUGAUUGCUACAGUUGGUUUUAAGUAAAACAGAUUGUUUUUGAUUAUUUUGAAAUCAGCCCCUAAGGCUCAUACAUGGUUGGGCCUCAGAUUUUGCUAUAAGCUUCCUGUCAUCUGUCAUAUGAGAGGGAUGCUGUGUGAAUCAGUUAUGUAUAUUCCUGUUCUUUAACAUUGCUAAAUUUUUACCAUUAAAAUUUAUGUUGGUUUCUGUUUUCUU